CUUACACAUGCAAGUCGAACGGGCAGCACGGGUGCUUGCACCUGGUGGCGAGUGGCGAACGGGUGAGUAAUACAUCGGAACAUGUCCUGUAGUGGGGGAUAGCCCGGCGAAAGCCGGAUUAAUACCGCAUACGAUCUACGGAUGAAAGCGGGGGACCUUCGGGCCUCGCGCUAUAGGGUUGGCCGAUGGCUGAUUAGCUAGUUGGUGGGGUAAAGGCCUACCAAGGCGACGAUCAGUAGCUGGUCUGAGAGGACGACCAGCCACACUGGGACUGAGACACGGCCCAGACUCCUACGGGAGGCAGCAGUGGGGAAUUUUGGACAAUGGGCGAAAGCCUGAUCCAGCAAUGCCGCGUGUGUGAAGAAGGCCUUCGGGUUGUAAAGCACUUUUGUCCGGAAAGAAAUCCUUGGUUCUAAUAUAGCCGGGGGAUGACGGUACCGGAAGAAUAAGCACCGGCUAACUACGUGCCAGCAGCCGCGGUAAUACGUAGGGUGCGAGCGUUAAUCGGAAUUACUGGGCGUAACGCGUGCGCAGGCGGUUUGCUAAGACCGAUGUGAAAUCCCCGGGCUCAACCUGGGAACUGCAUUGGUGACUGGCAGGCUAGAGUAUGGCAGAGGGGGGUAGAAUUCCACGUGUAGCAGUGAAAUGCGUAGAGAUGUGGAGGAA
RNAcentral lists this ribosomal RNA (666 nucleotides) under uncultured beta proteobacterium. RNAcentral describes it as "bacterial SSU rRNA". It matches the Rfam family "Bacterial small subunit ribosomal RNA", at positions 48 to 706 of the family's 1533-position model. The record is from RNAcentral. Lineage: Bacteria; Pseudomonadati; Pseudomonadota; Betaproteobacteria.